RNAcentral lists this unclassified non-coding RNA (325 nucleotides) under soil metagenome. Its description in RNAcentral is "partial contains 5.8S ribosomal RNA, internal transcribed spacer 2, and large subunit ribosomal RNA". The stretch from base 1 to 120 matches the Rfam family "5.8S ribosomal RNA", at positions 35 to 154 of the family's 154-position model. The record is from RNAcentral.
GAUGAAGAACGUAGCGAAAUGCGAUAAGUAAUGCGAAUUGCAGAAUUCAGUGAGUCAUCGAAUCUUUGAACGCACAUUGCGCCCUGUGGUAUUCCGCAGGGCAUGCCUGUUCGAGCGUCAUUUCAACCCUCAAGCCCCGCUUGGUGUUGGGCCCCGCCCGCCGUGGCCGGCCCUAAAGACAGUGGCGGCGCCGCCUGGCCCUCAGCGUAGUACAGCUCUCGCUCCAGGGUCCGGCGGCCGCCUGCCAGAACCCCCCCAACUCUGUGGUUGACCUCGGAUCAGGUAGGGAUACCCGCUGAACUUAGGCAUAUCAAUAAGCGGAGGA